Molecule: ribosomal RNA, 255 nt
Filed under: uncultured bacterium
Lineage: Bacteria
Description: partial 16S ribosomal RNA
Rfam family: Bacterial small subunit ribosomal RNA
Source: RNAcentral
UACGAAGGGGGCGAGCGUUGUUCGGAAUUACUGGGCGUAAAGGGCGCGCAGGCGGCUCUGAAAGUCAGAUGUGAAAGCCCCGGGCUUAACCUGGGAAUUGCAUUUGAUACUCUGGAGCUUGAGUACGGGAGAGGAGAGUGGAAUUCCCAGUGUAGAGGUGAAAUUCGUAGAUAUUGGGAAGAACACCGGUGGCGAAGGCGGCUCUCUGGACCGUAACUGACGCUGAGGCGCGAAAGCGUGGGGAGCAAACAGGAU